UACGUAGGGUGAGAGCGUUGUCCGGAAUUAUUGGGCGUAAAGGGCUCGUAGGCGGUUUGUCGCGUCGGGAGUGAAAACUCAGGGCUUAACCCUGAGCCUGCUUCCGAUACGGGCAGACUAGAGGUAUGCAGGGGAGAACGGAAUUCCUGGUGUAGCGGUGAAAUGCGCAGAUAUCAGGAGGAACACCGGUGGCGAAGGCGGUUCUCUGGGCAUUACCUGACGCUGAGGAGCGAAAGUGUGGGGAGCGAACAGG
This 253-nucleotide ribosomal RNA is filed under the name uncultured bacterium. Its description in RNAcentral is "partial 16S ribosomal RNA". It matches the Rfam family "Bacterial small subunit ribosomal RNA", at positions 524 to 776 of the family's 1533-position model. The record is from RNAcentral.